Molecule: long non-coding RNA, 389 nt
Organism: Stegodyphus dumicola
Lineage: Eukaryota; Metazoa; Arthropoda; Arachnida; Araneae; Eresidae
Source: RefSeq, a predicted model, not a curated record
CAUCUUUCAGUUGCAUCAUCGUCUUAAUGGCGGAAUCGUCUGACUCCUAUCAUCGGAAAAUUCCUGGCAAUUACCCAUUCCAUAAAACAAUCUGCUCAAUGUAUCUCUAUGUGAUAGUAUGCGCCAACUCCUUGUGCGGGUGCUGGAUUGGCAGUUCCAAUGGCUUACGAAGACGUCUUUUUUCAUUAGAAUUAGCGAACCGUGGGUGACUUUUUCCUCUAUCGAACGAAAUUCGGCUUUCGAAAAGCAACAUGGCAGUUGAUUUCUAUGCAGGUUGUCUUGGAGGUUGUGCUGGUGUACUAGUUGGUCAUCCUUUUGAUACUGUUAAGGUAUUUUUCUCAUUUUAUAUAACUACUGAUAAAUUCCUAAAUAUUAAAAAGCAAAAAAAG